This 2920-nucleotide ribosomal RNA is filed under the name Lactiplantibacillus plantarum subsp. plantarum NC8. RNAcentral describes it as "bacterial LSU rRNA". It matches the Rfam family "Bacterial large subunit ribosomal RNA". Lineage: Bacteria; Bacillati; Bacillota; Bacilli; Lactobacillales; Lactobacillaceae. The record is from RNAcentral.
UUAAGUUAACAAGGGCGCAUGGUGAAUGCCUUGGCACUAGGAGCCGAUGAAGGACGGGACUAACACCGAUAUGCUUCGGGGAGCUGUACGUAAGCUAUGAUCCGGAGAUUUCCGAAUGGGGCAACCCAGCAGUUUUAAUCAACUGUUACCACUAGAUGAAUUCAUAGUCUAGUUGGAGGUAAACGCUGUGAACUGAAACAUCUCAUUAGCAGCAGGAAUAUAAAGAAAUUUCGAUUCCCUAAGUAGCGGCGAGCGAACGGGGAGCAGCCCAAACCAAAGUGCUUGCACUUUGGGGUUGUAGGACUGAACAUUUGAGUUACCAAAGAACUUGAUAGUCGAAGGAUUUGGGAAAAUCCGCCAUAGAUGGUGAUAGCCCAGUAGAUUAAAUCAAAUUCUCUCAGUUCAGGAUCCUGAGUACGGCGGAACACGUGAAAUUCCGUCGGAAUCCGGGAGGACCAUCUCCCAAGGCUAAAUACUACCUAGUGACCGAUAGUGAACCAGUACCGUGAGGGAAAGGUGAAAAGCACCCCGGGAGGGGAGUGAAAUAGUUCCUGAAACCAUGUGCCUACAAUAAGUCAGAGCGCGUUAAUGCGUGAUGGCGUGCCUUUUGUAGAAUGAACCGGCGAGUUAUGAUCCCGUGCAAGGUUAAGACUAAAAAGUCGGAGCCGUAGCGAAAGCGAGUCUGAAAUGGGCGUUUUGAGUACGAGGUUAUAGACCCGAAACCAGGUGACCUAUCCAUGUCCAGGUUGAAGGUGCGGUAAAACGCACUGGAGGACCGAACCCGUGUAAGUUGAAAAUUGCUGGGAUGAGGUGUGGAUAGCGGUGAAAUUCCAAACGAACUUGGAGAUAGCUGGUUCUCUCCGAAAUAGCUUUAGGGCUAGCCUCGGAAUUAGGAUCAUGGAGGUAGAGCACUAUUUGGACUAGGGGCCCGUCUUGGGUUACUGAAUUCAGAUAAACUCCGAAUGCCAUUGAUUCAUAUCCGGGAGUCAGACGAUGAGUGAUAAGAUCCACCGUCGAAAGGGGAACAGCCCAGACCAUCAGUUAAGGUCCCUAAAUGUAUGCUAAGUGGAAAAGGAUGUGGAGUUGCAUAGACAACUAGGAUGUUGGCUCAGAAGCAGCCACCAUUUAAAGAGUGCGUAAUAGCUCACUAGUCGAGUGAUCCUGCGCCGAAAAUGUACCGGGGCUAAGCAUACUACCGAAACCAUGGAUGCGACCAUUAGGUCGCGUGAUAGGAGAGCGUUCUAAGGGCGGUGAAGCAAGAUCGUGAGGACUUGUGGAGCGCUUAGAAGUGAGAAUGCCGGUAUGAGUAGCGAAAGAUAGGUGAGAAUCCUAUCCACCGAAUGACUAAGGUUUCCUGGGGAAGGCUCGUCCUCCCAGGGUUAGUCGGGACCUAAGUCGAGGCCGAGAGGCGUAGACGAUGGAUAACAGGUUGAGAUUCCUGUACUAGUUAAGUGCGUUUGAGCAAUGGAGGGACGCAGGAGGCUAAGAUGUGCAUUCUGUUGGAUUAGAAUGUCCAAGCAGUAAGUCUUGUGAAGAGUCAAAUGCUUUUCACUUUAAGGACAAGCUGUGAUGGGGAGCGAAAUUUAGUAGCGAAGCGUCUGAUGUCACACUGCCGAGAAAAGCUUCUAGUGAGUACUUAACUACCCGUACCGCAAACCGACACAGGUAGUCGAGGAGAGAAUCCUAAGGUGAGCGAGUGAACUCUCGUUAAGGAACUCGGCAAAAUGACCCCGUAACUUCGGGAGAAGGGGUGCUGAUCGCAAGAUCAGCCGCAGUGAAUAGGCCCAGGCGACUGUUUAUCAAAAACACAGGUCUCUGCAAAAUCGUAAGAUGACGUAUAGGGGCUGACGCCUGCCCGGUGCUGGAAGGUUAAAAGGAUGGGUUAGCUUCGGCGAAGCUCAGAAUUGAAGCCCCAGUAAACGGCGGCCGUAACUAUAACGGUCCUAAGGUAGCGAAAUUCCUUGUCGGGUAAGUUCCGACCCGCACGAAAGGCGUAACGAUCUGGGCACUGUCUCAACGAGAGACUCGGUGAAAUUAUAUUGUCCGUGAAGAUGCGGACUACCCGCGACAGGACGGAAAGACCCCAUGGAGCUUUACUGUAGCUUGAUAUUGAGUGUUUGUACAGCUUGUACAGGAUAGGUAGGAGCCAUAGAAACCGGAACGCUAGUUUCGGUGGAGGCGUUGGUGGGAUACUACCCUCGCUGUAUGACCACUCUAACCCGCACCACUAAUCGUGGUGGGAGACAGUGUCAGGUGGGCAGUUUGACUGGGGCGGUCGCCUCCUAAAAAGUAACGGAGGCGCCCAAAGGUUCCCUCAGAAUGGUUGGAAAUCAUUCGCAGAGUGUAAAGGCACAAGGGAGCUUGACUGCGAGACAGACAGGUCGAGCAGGGACGAAAGUCGGGCUUAGUGAUCCGGUGGUACCGUAUGGAAGGGCCAUCGCUCAACGGAUAAAAGCUACCCUGGGGAUAACAGGCUUAUCUCCCCCAAGAGUCCACAUCGACGGGGAGGUUUGGCACCUCGAUGUCGGCUCAUCGCAUCCUGGGGCUGUAGUCGGUCCCAAGGGUUGGGCUGUUCGCCCAUUAAAGCGGUACGCGAGCUGGGUUCAGAACGUCGUGAGACAGUUCGGUCCCUAUCCGUCGCGGGCGUAGGAAAUUUGAGAGGACCUGUCCUUAGUACGAGAGGACCGGGAUGGACAUACCUCUGGUGUACCAGUUGUGCCGCCAGGCGCAUCGCUGGGUAGCUACGUAUGGAUGUGAUAAACGCUGAAAGCAUCUAAGUGUGAAACACACCUCGAGAUGAGAUUUCCCAUUCCUUUAUGGAAGUAAGACCCCUGAAAGAUGAUCAGGUAGAUAGGUUAGAAGUGGCAGUGCGGUGACGCAUGAAGCGGACUAAUACUAAUCGGUCGAGGACUUAACCAAG